CCCCAGUGCGACGCAAGACGUCACUGGCUUGAACGGGAAGGUCAAUAGUAGUGCAGCGAGCGCCCGUUUUUCGCCUUGGGUUUCCGGCGCGUGCGCUUGGCGGUCUAGGUGCCGCGGAUCGUAGCCCGAUUCUAACCUCUGAUGCCCGUGUUUUAGCUCAGCCCCGGCGCCCACAUGCUGUGCCGGCUUGGCGGUAGGUGGCUGCGGCCGCUGCCUGCACUGCAGUUAGGAGUCCGGGUCCCGCCUCUUGCGCCAACCUCGACGGGCGGCAUUAAGCACUCUGCUCUGCCCGCUUGGGCCGUGGCGUCAGUCUCUGCAGUGGGCUCUGGCGGCCCUGGCAGCUGGUACGAGGCCCUGGCCACGUCGGCGCCGGUGCAAGGCGCGGAGGAGGUGCUACUCGGCGUGCACACCGCCACGGGUCUGCCCUGGUGGGCCUGCAUCGGCCUCACCACCGUGGCUCUGCGCGGCGCCGUCACUCUACCCCUGGCCGCCUACCAGCACUACAUCCUGGCCAAGGUGGAAAAUUUGCAGCCAGAAAUAAAAAACAUUGCAAGGCAUCUUAACCAAGAAAUUGCAGUUCGUGCAAAUCAGUUGAAAUGGUCCAAAAGAGCUGCAAGACUCACUUAUCUAAAGAAUAUGCGGAGGCUUGUUUCAGAGCUGUAUGUUCGGGACAACUGCCACCCUUUCAAAGCCACUGUGUUGGUCUGGAUUCAGUUUCCAAUGUGGGUCUUCAUGUCCAUUGCCCUCCGGAAUUUUAGCACAGGAGCAACACAUUCAGAAGCAGGUUUUUCUGUUCAGGAACAGUUGGCUAAUGAUGGGAUCCUGUGGUUUCAUGACCUCACUGCACUAGAUUCCACUUGGAUUCUGCCUAUCUCUGUUGGUGUCAUCAAUUUACUAAUAGUGGAGAUUUUUGCUCUGCAAAAAACUGGAAUGUCUCGUUUUCAGACGUAUAUUACGUACUUCGUUCGUGCAGUGUCAGUGUUGAUGAUUCCAGUUGCUGCGACAGUACCUUCAUCCAUUGUCCUCUACUGGUUGUGCUCCAGCUUCAUGGGCCUUUCACAGAACUUGCUGCUGCGUUCUCCUAGGUUUCGCCGACUUUGCCGAAUACCAUUGACCAAGUCAGAUUCAGACACUCCUUAUAAGGACCUCUUUGCUGCCUUUUAUGCCAAGUUCAUUUCAAGAACAUGAGAGGCUUUCCAGUAAUUUUGAAACAAUUGGAAGUAUAACUGUCACACUACAUUUAAGUUUAGAAAUUCAGAUGUGAUUUAAUUUGUCUUUAUUUAAAAUCAUGAAUUGUGUGAAGUACUGUGGGUUAAGAUAUAAUACAAAAGUAGAAUCAAAGUGUCUGGUUCUGCUUAUAAAAUUACAACUUGCUAGAGGUGCCAAAACUUUGGAAAACAGGAUUAGAUACUGCAUGAUGUUAAAUUACACUGACCAAUCUCAUACAUUAAAGUUUUUUAAAGUAAGAGAAUCCAGUGAGGUGAUUCUUAAAAUUUUGGUGGUGUGGAGGAUCAUAGACCCGUUUGCACAUCUGCUAAAGCUAUGGUUUUCUUUUCAGACAAAUCCUGGAACUCACAGUAUGGGGGCCUUCAUUGACAACCCCUCUGCCCCACACCAAGGCUCUGGUGAUUUCCUGGUUGAGAACUCUUAUUCUCAUGGAACAUACAAUGAUGAGUUAAUGUGUGACUUUUAACAAAUGGACUUAAGAUACAUGCAGUAGAGUAGUCCAUACAAGAAAGUACCUAAUAUGGUGACAGCCACAAAAGAAAGCCACCUCGUAAGAGCUUUGAACUAUCAGCGGCUGCAAUGCCGACAAAGCAAACUGAAAUAAAUGAACCAAACGUCAUCAGAUAAGGACAGACAUUGUCACGGAGAGGCAAUGGUGACUCUUGAACAAAAACAAAAGGAAUGAUGAAAAAAUCUUUAUUCAGUAAUUGUAUUGCUCUAAUGUUGCAUUGUUAUUUUGGAACUCUUAUUGUUAGGUAAAAUAUAUAACGUCUAUUAGGUAUCUUAAGUUUUCUUUGGAUGCUGUAACACGUUCCUUUAUGGCACUUAGGCAACUAAGAGGGAGAUGUUAUUGACCAUAUUUGUUGGAGAUUUAUUUAAAAAAUUUGUAAGUGAAGUAUAGUUGAUGUACAGUAUCAUAUUAGUUUCAUGCUAUUGCAGCACAGUGGAGAUACAUAAGAUAAAUUCUUUUCAAGUUUUUCUUUUAAGAUAGCUUCAGGAAUCACCCCUGAGAAAGAAAGUGGUCCCACAAAGAGGGUCCUGCCUCCCUGCGGUUCACCACCACCAUACUCAGAAAGCCUAGCCUUCAUACCUGUUUGACUUCAGACCUUCCACAAUCUCAAUUAGGAACUAUACAUAAAAGCAUUUUGGUCCUGGUUGAUUUCCAUCCAUAGGAACAUAAGACCCGGCCAAUACCACAAGGGGAAAAAAGUUACCAGCUUGGCAAUGGCAGCAAAAUUCCCACGAAUCAGCUAAACCAAGAAAGUGCUUUCAUACAGAGGCCUUGCCUAGUUCUUAGAGCCAUAACCUUAUGCUCUUCUGUAACUUGAACGUGAGGGAGAUCCUGAUACAAUUGCCCCAAGGGAAUUGCAGAGAGAACCCUGGCCCCUUGCGUUCGAUCAUAGACUGCCUUCUUGAACGCCCUGUGUUUUGUUAAGUUUUACAAAGUCUUACCUUUAAUUACCUAGUCCUAUACCGCUGGUUUUGUUUAAUAAAAUGAGGACUUCUGGGUGUUGGGGAACAAAAGCACUGAUGGAAAGACCUGAAAUAAAACUAAAAGUACUCCUAGAAAACAUCACUUCUACUGAGGUAUUCAAUCUAAGGUAACAAGACAUUUCUAUACUUGAAAGUCUCUGCUAGACUCCAAAGGGCCAAGAAUUUCAUGAAAAAAGAGGCCUCCAGGGAAAGUGCCCAAUUUCUAUCUUUUCCAUUUCUAGGAAAUAUCACAAGCACACUUCUCUCCCUUUGCAUCCCUGAUAAGGCAGUUUACAUUUGUUUUGCCUUCGUUAGGAAAGCAGCACUGUAUUUAAUUUAGCUUUGAUUUUUGUCUUCUGGCUAAAUUGUAGCUCUCCAGGGAAAUUUAAAAAUGCAUUAUGAAAUACACCUAACUCUAUUCCUUUCAUUGCAGCUGCAUUUCUGCAUGUUCCAACCGUAGUACAAAUAAUUUGAGGGAUUUCUUCUAAUUACAACCUCAAGCCUCCUGGAUCUUUUGUGAGUGAUGGCUGCUUCUGAGGGUAAGGAGUAUUAAAAAUGUAAAUUCUUUAUCUAUGAGAGAGCUAACAGCUUCAUAUUCCAUGCUAUUUAAAAUUUAUCCUAUAUGUUGCUACAGGUAGGAACCCUCAUAAAGUUUUAUUAUAGAAGCUUCUGUUGUGCUUGACUUUCCUAAUAAAACGUCUCUGGCUAUAUCCAACCUGAUCACCAGCCCUUUCUGUCACGUAUUCUCCAGAAUUUUUCUUCUUCUCAUCUAGGCUUCCUUUUUCUUAACUAAGUCUUCCACUGUACCCCUACUCUCCCAAACCUUUCCUCUGUUCUUACGUCCAUUAUACAGUAAACAAAAUUCUCCUUGCAACUCAGGAUGAUGGAAGGUGAAAUACCUUUAAUUUUUAUUAGUAGAUCAUUAUUUCCCUACUCAUAUGUAAGAAAAACUUUCUGUAUACACGCCAACUGGAUCUACCACUUCCUACGCUUGUUUCUGGCAUCUAUUGGCCAUCUCGUCACCCCUGUCAUUUACUGGCUUCCUGUCUUCAGGGCUGCCAUCACAGUGGAUGACUUCAGUAGCUAAGUGGCCGUCUUGUUAGGUUAGGCAGUUUGUUAGGUUCCUAACAGGAUACCUGGAGGUCACUAACGAAAAAGUCAUGGCCAGCUAUGGGGAAGGUCAGAGGCCUGUCCUGGCAGCACUCCACAAGAAGCAGGAUCAAACCAGACAGGCCCAAGAUGGCAGAUGCCAUGAAAGGAGACCCUUGGCCAAAUCAGGAAGAAAAAGCUCAGAAACCCUGCUUCCCCACCACUACCCAAGUAAUAAAUAUUCUGCCACCUACUUCACUAAUAAAAGAUAGAAACCCGACCACCCGCGUACACAGCUCCCUCACUGGCCAGCUUAACCUCCCCUUCUCUCUCUCUGUCUUUCCCUCUUUCCUUCUUUCUCUGUGUCCCUCCCUUCCCCCUUUUCCCUCCCUUCAGCUCGCCUGUCUCCUAUCUCAAAAGCGUAUUUUUCGCUUUAAUAAACUUUGCUGCUUGUGUUACUUGUCUGCUAUGCUGUGUGUCUGUCCUCGAAUUCAUUCUUGUGACAAGACCAAGAACCUUUGGCAACUCCUUUGGGUCUGGCUGGGUCGAGGCUCCAGGACCCAGGGACUCCCCAGUUCACCUGGCAACAGUCUCAUCUGACAACUUUGUCACCCGGUCGUUUCACCUGCUACCUGAGAUAUGUUAGUAAUUCCUUUCCAGUCUUCAGGACUAAGUAUUUCACCAGGUGAUGACAAUGUGUACCCUGCAGGCCAUAGAUUAUUGGAUCUGGGUUGUUCAUGUAGCCCAAGCAGGACCAUCAAAUCUCUAGGAAAUUUAAUCUAAGAGCUAUGAAGACACCAAGUCAAUUGGGUAAUUGGUUCAUGCUAGACCAGCCGUCACACCAGCCCAAACCCACAGGCAUGCUACAGCUAAGACUUUGCAUAGAAGACAAGGGUAGCAGAGAAAGCUUACGCAAGAAGAGAAGAGACAAAAUAACACCAUCUUGCAAAAGAAGCUGAGACUGAGAGAUCCCAGUCUCUACCCCCAUAAGAGAUAGAGUGGGUGGCCAAAAUUCCAAAAUUUGAAAUUGCAGCCACAUAUGACUUUCCUAUUGCUGCUGUAGCAAAUAAACUUAGUGACUUAAAACCACACAAACAUUAUCUUACAAGUUCUAGAGGUCAGAUGUCUGAUAUUGGUUCCACAGGGGUGUGUUCCUUAUAGAAACUGUCAGCGAGAAUCUGGUUUCUUAUGUUUUCCAGCUUUUAAAGGUUCCAGCUUAUGACCUGCCUCACUCUUUCAAUUGUUGGAUCCCCUUUCACUCUCACCCUCCUGACCCCCUCUUAUAAGGACCCUUGGGAUUAUUAUAUUUGGCCACCCUGAUAAUCCAGGAUAAUCUUCCCGUCUCAAGGGGCGCCUGGGUGGCUCAGUCUGUUAAGCAUCUGACUCUUGAUCUCGGCUCAGGUUAUGACCUCACAGUCGGCGAGUUUGAGCCCCACAUUGGGCUCAGUGCUGACAGCAUGGAGCCUGCUUGGGAUUCUCUCUCCCCCUCUUUCUCUGCCCCUUCCCUGUGUGCACUCUUUCUCUCAAAAUAAAUAAAAUCUUCCCAUCUCAGGGUGUCUGGGUGGCUCAGUUAGUUGGGCAUCCAACUCUUGAUUUUGGCUCAGAUCAUGAUUUUGCAAUUUCUGAGUUUGAGCCACAUUGGGCUCUGCCUUGGCAGUGCAGAGCCUGCUUGGGCUUUUCUCUCUGCCCCUCCCGUUCUCACUCACAUGUGCGCACGCACGCUCUCUCUCUUAAAAUAAAUAAAUAAACUUAAAAAAAAAAAAAGUCUUCCCAUCUCAAAAUGCUUAACUUAGUCACAUUUUUGAUCUCGUUCCUCAGGUCCAAGCACAUCUUGAUUAAGAUCUGUGGAGGUGAACAUGCGUCUUUAUCUUCCAUGCCACAGUGGUAGAUAGUCCUGCACUCUCUACGUGCAAGGAGUCAUUCCGUCUCCGUCUGCUCCCUUUGUCUUCCUAUCUGUAGCCCCCUGUUUGCUUACAAGGGUGGUGGUAGGGAGAGCAGGGCAGCUUUUUUUACUCUUAAUUAGAGUAAUCCCUCCAAUUUUUGUGUUAGCUGAUGUCAGUGCCUUAGGCGGGAUGUGUUCUCUUCCAUCCUCCCUUGGGCAGAAGGUUAUUAAAAUGCCUUACCAAGAAAAUCCUGACCUUGGCUUCUGAUGCCGUCCAUCUCUGGGAGACUGCCCAUUCUACCACUACAUAAAUGAGCUUACAGUGGUCAGUUGUUUUUUAUGUCUGAAGUGCACAAAUGCCAUUUUGGGGCUUUUACCUGUCUUGCCAUACCUGGUGCUACACCAGAGUGACAGAUGUCUUCUAUAUCUCAGUGAUGUGCUGAGGGAUAAGACGUUCAUUUCCCCCACCCCACCCCACCCCACCCCACCCCCAGCUUAAUAUCGCUGACACCUUGUCACUGAUCCUAACAUUGUUUAAUGGAAGCAGGGCACACACUCAAAGAUCAAAAAUGACGAGGCAGUCAUGCAGCUGGUAAUUCCUUGUGGCCUUGUAGGCAUGGCAACCCACACAUUGACUCUAUUGUUAUUUUUGUUCUGUAUGCAGAGUUGCUGACAUCAUUAGUGAAGUUUUGUUAAAAUCCUUGGGUUCCCCUGAGGAUAAAAGGGAAUAGACACACACACACACAAAGUCCUUCUAAAUGGGACAUUUCAUAUGGCCACUUUUCACCUUUCUAUUUUUCCUUUGAUCACAUAGAAUAAAGCAAAAAUAUUUUUCCCUAUUUUUCUCCACCAGAAAGUUGGCAUAAAAUGAUCCAUCAGCAAAACUGUGUAUGCAGAUUUUAUUCUCGGAUUUUAUGAAAAAGGUCCCUGGAUACAAAUUCUAUGGGUUUGGUAGUUAAAAUCAGGUUACCACUGUGGUGGGUAAUAUGUUCAAACGAAUGUAUUGGCCACAGGAGUCACAUUUCAGUCAAAAUGGUCAGUUCUCUUUGGCCUGAAGAGGAAUUCCUAUGUGAGCUCUCAGAGUUCAUUUGUUCCCCACUUACACACAGAAUGCUUACCUGCAGACUUCUUCCCCCAGUAGGACCAGGAGGGAGUGACUCCACUCUUCUUCCAGUGCCCAUGGCCACCAGCAAUCAUCAGGAAAGAAAAGACAAAGUGGUUACCUAGUGAAAGAGUAACCUCAAGUGAAAAUAGAGAAAUUCGAAAUCUGAAUUCUUGAAGGA
Neofelis nebulosa (Clouded leopard) is the source of this 6954-nucleotide RNA transcript. It is a transcript of the gene named cytochrome c oxidase assembly protein COX18, mitochondrial, with no coding region annotated. The record is from RefSeq and is a predicted model, not a curated record. NCBI's taxonomy places the organism in Eukaryota, Metazoa, Chordata, Mammalia, Carnivora, Felidae. The transcript is spliced from 7 exons.